This is a transfer RNA of Ipomoea nil (Japanese morning glory), 72 nucleotides long. It matches the Rfam family "tRNA". Rfam says of the family: Transfer RNA (tRNA) molecules are approximately 80 nucleotides in length. Lineage: Eukaryota; Viridiplantae; Streptophyta; Magnoliopsida; Solanales; Convolvulaceae. The record is from Rfam.
GCGUUUGUAAUCCAACGGUUAGGAUAAUUGCCUUCUAAGCAAUAGACUUGGGUUCAACUCUCGGUAAAUGCA